GUCGCUUCACAUCCCGAAUCCUUUGAAUAGUACUAACAACAUGGAGCACAUGAUAAACACCAACAGGAAAGAACUUCAGGAUGCCUUUCCAUAAUGACAUAGCUCAUUCCUGCUUGUAUCUCCAUCCCGUGGUGUUUGGGGACUUCCUCUGAGUUUCACCAAAAAAAGCUUGAGUCUACACAAGAAGAAUAACAUUGACUACAAUCAUCAAUAAAUGGAAAAAAAUAAAAAAAAUGAGAUCGUAGCAUCACAAUUUAUCCCAUCAAAGAUAAGGAACGUAUGCGUAAACAUCAUUUCCAUCAGUUGGACCACAAUGAUGUGGCCGAUGAAAAAAAGAACAACAUACUUUGGAGAAGUAAGCAAUUAGCAAUACUUCCCUUGUUUGUGUUUAGGAAUAGAGUUGAUGCUAAUAGAAGUAUGCUGAAAAGGGUUUAAGUGCCUAAACUACAGAAUAGAAAGAUCUAAUUUUUACUUGGGCAUUUUGCAAUAUCCGACUAGCAAAAUCAGCAAUCUGUGAUAGUUUGCAAUGAGGUCAAUUUCAACUUUACAAAUCCAAUGCUGCAUACAUGAGAACUGAGCUUAUCAAAUCAGAAACCUAAACAUUCGAAGGAUAUUAUCACACCAUAAACUAUUAGAAUGGAGGAGAUUGUCAUCAUGCAUACACGUAUUCUGUUUUCAAGUGAAAUUCCUCAGCACGUAUAGUAUAAG
This 708-nucleotide long non-coding RNA is filed under the name Eucalyptus grandis. Its description in RNAcentral is "long non-coding RNA (EGRA_LNC000702)". Lineage: Eukaryota; Viridiplantae; Streptophyta; Magnoliopsida; Myrtales; Myrtaceae. The record is from RNAcentral.